Molecule: ribosomal RNA, 253 nt
Filed under: uncultured bacterium
Lineage: Bacteria
Description: partial 16S ribosomal RNA
Rfam family: Bacterial small subunit ribosomal RNA
Source: RNAcentral
UACAGAGGGUGCAAGCGUUAAUCGGAAUUACUGGGCGUAAAGCGUGCGUAGACGGUGAUGUAAGUCGGGUGUGAAAGCCCCGGGCUCAACCUGGGAAUGGCAUUCGAGACUGCAUCGCUAGGGUGCGGAAGAGGGAAGCGGAAUUUCCGGUGUAGCGGUGAAAUGCGUAGAUAUCGGAAGGAACAUCAGUGGCGAAGGCGGCGAUCUGGGCAGAUAUUGACGCUGAUGUGCGAAAGCGUGGGGAGCAAACAGG